GUGUCAGCCGCCGCGGUAAUACGUAGGUGGCAAGCGUUGUCCGGAAUUAUUGGGCGUAAAGCGCGCGCAGGUGGCUUCUUAAGUCUGAUGUGAAAGCCCACGGCUUAACCGUGGAGGGUCAUUGGAAACUGGGAGACUUGAGUGCAGAAGAGGAAAGUGGAAUUCCAAGUGUAGCGGUGAAAUGCGUAGAGAUUUGAAGGAACACCAUUGGCGAAGGCGAUUCUCUGGACCGUAACUGACGCUGAGGCCCGA
RNAcentral lists this ribosomal RNA (252 nucleotides) under uncultured bacterium. RNAcentral describes it as "partial 16S rRNA". It matches the Rfam family "Bacterial small subunit ribosomal RNA", at positions 505 to 756 of the family's 1533-position model. The record is from RNAcentral.